Molecule: ribosomal RNA, 433 nt
Filed under: uncultured Alphaproteobacteria bacterium
Lineage: Bacteria; Pseudomonadati; Pseudomonadota; Alphaproteobacteria
Description: bacterial SSU rRNA
Rfam family: Bacterial small subunit ribosomal RNA
Source: RNAcentral
AACGAACGCUGGCGGCAGGCUUAACACAUGCAAGUCGAACGCCCUUCUUCGGAAGGGAGUGGCAGACGGGUGAGUAACGCGUGGGAACCUACCUAUCGGUUCGGAACAACAGUUAGAAAUGACUGCUAAUACCGGAUACGCCCUGAGGGGGAAAGAUUUAUCGCCGAUAAAUGGGCCCGCGUUAGAUUAGCUAGUUGGUGAGGUAAUGGCUCACCAAGGCUACGAUCUAUAGCUGGUUUGAGAGGACGACCAGCCACACUGGGACUGAGACACGGCCCAGACUCCUACGGGGGGCAGCAGUGAGGAAUCUUGGACAAUGGGCGCAAGCCUGAUCCAGCCAUGCCGCGUGAGUGAAGAAGGCCUUAGGGUUGUAAAGCUCUUUCAACGGUGAAGAUAAUGACGGUAGCCGUAGAAGAAGCUCCGGCUAACUUCG